Molecule: ribosomal RNA, 252 nt
Filed under: uncultured bacterium
Lineage: Bacteria
Description: partial small subunit ribosomal RNA
Rfam family: Bacterial small subunit ribosomal RNA
Source: RNAcentral
AGGAUAAACGCUGGCGGCGUGCUUCAGGCAUGCAAGUCGAACGAACACUUCGGUGUUAGUGGCGGACGGGUGAGUAACACGUAAGUAACCUGCCCAGAAGUGGGGAAUAACUAGCCGAAAGGUUGGCUAAUACCGCAUGCGAUGGCACUUCCCUGGAGGGUCAUCAAAGGAUUUAUUCGCUUUUGGAGGGCUUGCGGCCGAUUAGCUUGGUUGGUGGGGUAAUCGGCCUACCGAAGGCGGUGACGGGUAGCC